This 696-nucleotide ribosomal RNA is filed under the name Triticum aestivum (bread wheat). RNAcentral describes it as "partial small subunit ribosomal RNA". Lineage: Eukaryota; Viridiplantae; Streptophyta; Magnoliopsida; Poales; Poaceae. The record is from RNAcentral.
AUGCCAUUCAGAAGCUCCCUUUCGGUGGAUGGUUCACUCGAGUGGCUGCAUGAUGUCUCCUCUCCUCCUCCCCUGUUGAGGAGUCUGAAGUUGUAUGGAUGCCUUGGAGAGAUUCCUGCCUCCGUUGGCAAUCUGAUGCAUUUGGUAAAGCUUUAUUUAUGGCGCAGCGAAAUAAAGGAAGAAGGUAAAAUCAUGGAAAUACUAGGGCCACUUCCCAACCUCAUGCAGCUUCGUCUUAGAUACAACUCUUAUAUUGGGGAGAAGUUGGUGUUCAAAAUUGGAGCAUUCCCAAAUCUCAAGAAGCUUGAUAUUUAUGAUCUGGCGGGACUGAGAGAGUUGAAAUUUGAGGACGGCGCCUCACCCCAGCUGGCAAUGAUAGAUAUCACUGCGUGCAAUUUGGCAUCAGGAAUUACUGGAGUCAACCAACUUCCAAACCUCAAGCAGAUCUCACUUGGUCAAGUGGCGAAGCUUGCUAUGCUGCAAAGUGAAGUCGGCGCACACCCCAACAGUCCCGUGCUACGACUAUCCAAGGAACUGGGAGGCACCGUCGCCCAAGUGGGAGAAUCAACAGGGGAAUCCUCAUCUCUCCAUCCCGAGCCUGAAGAUGCAGGAGAGAGCUCACGGUCCCAAGCGGUGGGCAUGGCGACGGCAAACAUCAGCCAAGAUGAUGUGCUUUACACUUACAACUCGUGCUGA